This 1198-nucleotide long non-coding RNA is filed under the name Mustela putorius furo (domestic ferret). RNAcentral's name for it is "lncRNA (ENSMPUG00000030514.1)". The record is from RNAcentral. Lineage: Eukaryota; Metazoa; Chordata; Mammalia; Carnivora; Mustelidae.
GGGCCUCCUGGGGGCGGCCCCGGCUCCUCUGGGAACAGACUGUCUGUUUGCUGAGAUACCAUCGCAUUCCUGCAGCCUCAGCCACCCCAGGAUGGAUGGGGGUGGGGGGGGCGGUGUGCAAGGGGAGGGGAGGAGGAAAUAGGACAGCUGCUGGCCCUCUGUUCCCCUGGGGCCCUCACUGAGAAGGCUGCCGCCCUGGGUCCUCCAGGGGGGUCUAUGGUUUUCUGGCCUGCUUGUUGAGUACUUUGGAAAGCUCCUUAUUAGCCAACGUGGGUACCCCACUCUACAGUUUACAGAGCGUUUUCUCAACAAUGACCUAUUUUGCUCUUCCAGAUAACCUUCUGUGUAGGUAGUCUGGGGUGCUGAAUUUCCACAGAGGAGAGCUGCCUAGCCAACAGCGAGUAUGGCCAUCGUUGGAGCAGGAGCCCUUGAAUGAGCCCCAGCUGACCAGUUCCAGCCACUGGGAAUGCUUACCGUAUGGCGGUGACUGUCAAAAGCACGUUAGAUGCAUUAGCUUGCUUAUUCUUCACCAACAGCCCUUGGGAGUGGAAGGGGCCCAGGAAGAUGGAAGUGUCCAAGGCCCACAGAAGUCACAGCACAGCCCUGCAUAUAGUCCUGGGCUCUGGAAGGCAGGCUCUGACAACUGUGUCCCUCAGUCCCUUCCCCAACAGAGCAUGGCUGGUGUUAGUGGGGCCGGGGGUCAGAAAUGUUUAUCACACACUUGCUGGCUGCCUAGCCCUGGGGAGGAAAGUUGAGCAUCGGUCGUGCCCUGGUCAGCCUAGGAGGAGAAGAUGUACAUACAGGGAAACCAAGGGCAAGGUAAGACAGGACACACUCUCCAACUGUGGUCAGUCUUACUUGUAUCUCUUCUUGUGUUUGUCAUUUUGUCUGUCACUGGGUCAGACCCUCUUUGGUUAUAGCAUUGUUUCAUGUCUUUGAUUCUUCAACCAUUUUUUUUGUUGGUUUAUUCCUUUCUUCAACCAAUGUUUAUUAAAUUCAUUAUUCAGGUUUUUUAAAAUUUUAUUUUAUUUAUUUAUUUGAUAGAGAGAGACCACAAGCAGGGGGAGUGAAAGGGAGAGGGAGAAGCAUGCAGAGCUUGCUCCCAGAACUGUGGAAUCAUGACCUGAGUAGAAGGCAGAUGCUUAAUUGACUGAGCCACCCAGGCGUCCCUUUAUUUUUAUUUAUUUUUAUUUAAAAA